UCGUAACAAGGUUUCCGUAGGUGACCGUGGGAAAGGAUCAUUG
RNAcentral lists this ribosomal RNA (43 nucleotides) under Bupleurum longicaule. RNAcentral's name for it is "partial 18S ribosomal RNA". Lineage: Eukaryota; Viridiplantae; Streptophyta; Magnoliopsida; Apiales; Apiaceae. The record is from RNAcentral.